The sequence is a transfer RNA, 73 nucleotides long. It matches the Rfam family "tRNA". Rfam says of the family: Transfer RNA (tRNA) molecules are approximately 80 nucleotides in length.
GGGGCUAUAGCUCAGUUGGUAGAGCAGUUGCAUGGCAUGUAACGAGUCGGCGGUUCAACUCCGCCUAGCUCCA